AUGGCGGAACCGGUGAAGCUCAUCGGCGCCUUCGGCAGCCCAUUCGUCCACCGCGCCGAGGUGGCCCUGCGCCUGAAGGGCGUCCCAUUCGAGCUCAUCCUUGAAGACCUCAACAACAAGAGCGAGCUGCUGCUGAAGCACAACCCCAUCCACAAGACGGUGCCGGUGCUCCUCCAUGGUGACCGGCCAGCCGUCUUAGAGUCCCUCCUCAUCGUCGAGUAUGUGGACGAGGCCUUCGACGGCCCGCCGCUCCUCCCCGCCGACCCCUACGAGAGGGCCAUGGCUCGCUUCUGGGCCCAAUUCAUCGAGCAAAAGUGCUCCAGGCCGUUCUGGAUGGCGGUGUGGCUGGACGACGGGGAGGCGUGGGAGGGGUUCGUGAGGGACACCAAGGAGAAUCUGGCGCUGCUGGAGGCGCGGCUGCAGGGGAAGCGGUUCUUCGCCGGAGACGCCGUUGGGUACCUGGACCUGGCGGCCUGCGGGCUGGCGCACCUGCUGGGCGUGAUCGAGCAGGUGGCCGGGGCGAGCCUUGUGGGCGCCGGCGAGUUCCCCGCGCUGCGCCGGUGGGCGGAGGACUACACCUCCGACGCGACCGUCGUCGCGUGCCUACCGCCGAGGGAGCAGCUCGCCGCACACUUCGCCGGGAAGAAGGACCGAAUCAAGCUCGCCGUCAACGCGAUGGUGGGGCGGGCGUAG
This 693-nucleotide ribosomal RNA is filed under the name Triticum aestivum (bread wheat). RNAcentral's name for it is "partial small subunit ribosomal RNA". The record is from RNAcentral. Lineage: Eukaryota; Viridiplantae; Streptophyta; Magnoliopsida; Poales; Poaceae.